Molecule: ribosomal RNA, 550 nt
Filed under: uncultured bacterium
Lineage: Bacteria
Description: bacterial SSU rRNA
Rfam family: Bacterial small subunit ribosomal RNA
Source: RNAcentral
UAGGGAAUCUCCCACAAUGGGCGAAAGCCUGAUGGAGCAACGCCGCGUGUGUGAUGAAGGCUUUAGGGUCGUAAAGCACUGUUGUAUGGGAAGAAAUGCUAGAAUAGGGAAUGAUUCUAGUUCGACGGUACCAUACCAGAAAGGGACGGCUAAAUACGUGCCAGCAGCCGCGGUAAUACGUAUGUCCCGAGCGUUAUCCGGAUUUAUUGGGCGUAAAGCGAGCGCAGACGGUUGAUUAAGUCUGAUGUGAAAGCCCGGAGCUCAACUCCGGAAUGGCAUUGGAAACUGGUUAACUUGAGUGUUGUAGAGGUAAGUGGAACUCCAUGUGUAGCGGUGGAAUGCGUAGAUAUAUGGAAGAACACCAGUGGCGAAGGCGGCUUACUGGACAACAACUGACGUUGAGGCUCGAAAGUGUGGGUAGCAAACAGGAUUAGAUACCCUGGUAGUCCACACCGUAAACGAUGAAUACUAGGUGUUAGGAGGUUUCCGCCUCUUAGUGCCGAAGCUAACGCAUUAAGUAUUCCGCCUGGGGAGUACGACCGCAAGGUUG